GACGAACGCUGGCGGCGUGCUUAACACAUGCAAGUCGUACGGAAAGGCCCUGUCUGGGUGGGGUGCUUGAGUGGCGAACGGGUAAGUAACACGUAAGUAACCUGCCCUUGACUUUGGGAUAACUUCAGGAAAUUGGGGUUAAUACCGGAUAGGAGUUCCUGCUGCAUGGUGGGGGUUGGAAAGUUCCGGCGGUGGGGGAUGGACUCGCGGCUUAUCAGUUUGUUGGUGGGGGGGUGGCUUACCAAGGCUUUGACGGGUAGCCGGCCUGAGGGGGUGACCGGCCACAUGGGGCCUGGGAUACGGCCAGAACUCCUACGGGGGGCAGCGGUGGGAAUUAUUGAACAAGGGGCGGAGGCCUAAGGCAGCAACGCCGGGGGCGGGAUGACGGCCUUCGGUUUGAAACCCGCUUUAGCAUGUACCGAGGCGUUUGUGACGGUAAUGGGUGAAGAAGCACCGGCUAACUACGUG
Molecule: ribosomal RNA, 468 nt
Filed under: uncultured bacterium
Lineage: Bacteria
Description: partial 16S ribosomal RNA
Rfam family: Bacterial small subunit ribosomal RNA
Source: RNAcentral